This 577-nucleotide long non-coding RNA is filed under the name Gallus gallus (chicken). RNAcentral describes it as "lncRNA (ENSGALG00010000334.1)". The record is from RNAcentral. Lineage: Eukaryota; Metazoa; Chordata; Aves; Galliformes; Phasianidae.
UUGCUAGAUGGAGUGCGCUUGUGUUUCUUGGCUUCCUGAAAGCUGUGUCUGUCUUUUUCACUGCCGGCUGGAGAGACUCGGGGGAGAAAGCGUUGUGCUUGAUGGCACGGUUUCCUUGGGCAAAGGAUGCUUUGGCAGCAGAGGUUUGCUGUCAGGAGGCAUGAAAGCACUGAAGCCAAUGCUGCCGUGCCCUGGGCCCAGAGACAUCAGCUCCCAGCACGUCCCUGGCGGUGGAUGUGUGCAAGCUCUGUGUCUGCCAGUGGUUGCUCCAAAGGCUUUGUGGUCAGCUGUGCGUGGCUGUUUUGCUCUUGAGGGCGUGGGAACAGAGGGCAACACGCUGAUGGGAGUGAUGGUGUCCUGCUCAGCAAUGGAUGUGCUGGGUGGCAGAAGAGGAUUCUUGGCCGAGCGUGGAAAAUCUCUCUGCUCCUUCCUGAAGGACACAGUAUUCCACUUGGAAAGGGCCUCCAACGAUUUCUGGUAUCCUCUGAGAGCUCUGAGCUGCCACACCAAUUUGAAGCUGACUUCAUUUUUGGUCUUCCCCUUCAGCAGAAAAGCUCAGACAGCCGAGCCAAGCGAG